Molecule: long non-coding RNA, 1795 nt
Organism: Bombus terrestris (buff-tailed bumblebee)
Lineage: Eukaryota; Metazoa; Arthropoda; Insecta; Hymenoptera; Apidae
Exons: 2
Source: RefSeq, a predicted model, not a curated record
GUGAAACGUAGACUGCGUGGUUUAACCUGCUCGUCGUUAGUGGUUGCUCCGCUGUAACAAAAGAACGUUUUAACCCCUUGCCCUACGAUUUAAAUUCCGAAUGCGACCAAGAAAAAAAAGUGUUUGUCGCCUGUAUGUAGUCCGAAGAACAUACGUUUCAUGCUCGUGUUGUUAACGAUUGGCCCGAAGGGCGUACCACGUUUCUCGUACGUGUUUUUCGUGUUUGGCCCGAAGGACGUACCACGAGUCUAACUCGACGUUGUAUAGAUUAAAUGUUUUCGAUCAAGUUACGCGUUAUUCGUACGAAAAUAUUCGAGCGACUGAAACGUAUCGGUUAAUUGUCAAACAUUCAUCUAUCGUUACCGCUCUUUUUCUGCGUUCUCGUGUCGUAUCGCAUCCAUGUCCCAUUUCCCGUCUCGUCGUUCACAGAGAUCUCGAUGGUUGCGGAACACGUGCAUUAAGAUCUCGUAAGCCGUAGAUCAUCGAACGAUUCGAAAGACGCAACAUAAAACGUGACAUGCGUGCACACAUGCAUACAUAUCGACACUUUUAUACGAGAAAAAGCUAACAAUUUGCCCGAGAAACGUGUUAAUUAUACGUAAAGACGGUGAAAGAUUUCGAAUUUGAAAUAGCGUGUAUCGCGAUUCUCUAACGUUUGAUUUCUUUUCCUUGUUCUUCCGUUGUAUUCCGUUUCGUUUCGUUUCGCAUCGUUGGAAUUAUCGGCGUGCGGCCCGAUUACACACAGAAACUUUCUUCCUUUUUUCUUGCUUGUCUCGCGAUCGAAUCGUGAGAUAUGAAAAAAAUAAUCGAUCCGACCUAAUACAUUUCAAUAUAGUUGAAAUAAUCACACAGCUGUAAGAUAAAAGAGAAAGAAAAGAAGAAAGAGUGUGUGAAAAAUUGAACGAGGAACGUUCUGUUCCUAUGACAUGUAUAUUACCGUCUAUCCAGCCGAUCGUUCGGGUGGUUCGUAUACGGUACACGGUAUACAGUACACAAUUACGAUUAUUGCGUGGCAAGUAACGCAUCUGUAUCGUAUACGUAUGCCUCAAGUAUAUACAUCGGUGCUUUUCUAUUCAUAUACAUGUGAAACAUUGCUCUUCGAAUAACGAACACAUUGCUUUACAGAAAGAGGCGCCACUCUAUUCUACGUCGUAAUGAGACUGUAUGGAUUUACAUAGCAGUUAAGCGUCGAUAAAAAAUAAUCCAAGUAAAAAUACAGAUUCGAACGAUUCGUGAUAACGAACGAAUACUUGAGAAAAAAAAAAGAAAAAGAAAAAAUAAAAGAGAAAAAAAGAAGAAAGAAAGAGAAGAAGUAGUAAGCGGUGAGAAAAGAAACACAAAAAGAAAGAACGAGACAACAGAACAGAACAAAACGGAUAAAAUACGAAAUUAGAAUGUGUGGACCAUGGUAUUAUGGUAUGUAGCAACGUACCUCACUACUGGGUGCUUGGGAGGUACGGAUGGGUCCAUGGGGCUGAAAUAACAAAACAAAGCAUUUCAGAGCAAGAUAAAUAGAAACGAAGGUUAAUUAAGUGCUUGUUACUCGUCUACGAUGGUCAUACUUGUUGUCAAUGGUACAAAAAUACGUCCACGUAUUUCCUGUCUCAAAUGUUCCAGCAUCUACAGUUCGAACUAAAGCUAAUUGCACGCAACGCUUUUAACAAAAACAAUACAUCGUACAACGCACACGUACAAUAAUUUAAUUGCUUUUGAAUAGAGGAUUCAGAAAUAAAUUGAUACAACACAUGUAUAAGGCAGUUUUAACAUAUUUAUUAAUAUGAAAUUAUUACUAUUA